This 460-nucleotide ribosomal RNA is filed under the name uncultured bacterium. RNAcentral describes it as "partial 16S ribosomal RNA". It matches the Rfam family "Bacterial small subunit ribosomal RNA", at positions 338 to 795 of the family's 1533-position model. The record is from RNAcentral.
CCUACGGGAGGCAGCAGUGAGGAAUAUUGGUCAAUGUACGAGAGUCUGAACCAGCCAAGUAGCGUGAAGGAUGACUGCCCUAUGGGUUGUAAACUUCUUUUAUAUGGGAAUAAAAUGUUCCACGUGUGGGAUUUUGUAUGUACCAUAUUAAUAAGGAUCGGCUAACUCCGUGCCAGCAGCCGCGGUAAUACGGAGGAUCCGAGCGUUAUCCGGAUUUAUUGGGUUUAAAGGGAGCGUAGGUGGAUUGUUAAGUCAGUUGUGAAAGUGUGCGGCUCAACCGUAAAAUUGCAGUUGAAACUGGCAGUCUUGAGUACAGUAGAGGUGGGCGGAAUUCGUGGUGUAGCGGUGAAAUGCUUAGAUAUCACGAAGAACUCCGAGUGCGAAGGCAGUUCACUGGACUGCAACUGACACUGAGGCUCGAAAGUGUGGGUAUCAAACAGGAUUAGAUACCCUUGUAGUC